UUUAAAUUGAAGUUAUCAAAUAUAACGAUUUGAAUUACGUAUCCAUAACAUGAGUAAAGAUUCAUUUAACAUGACUUGACUUUAAUUAUCGACAAUUAAAGAUUGAGAUAAUAAAACAACAAAUAGAAUUAUGUAAUUACAUGUGAUUCGAAAGCAGCAGAAUUUAAAAAGUUUCCUGGAAUUAAUUCUAUUCAGAUUCGAUGUUAUUAUAGAAUUAUAUUAUAUACCAAAAGAUUAAAGAGAUUCGAUAAACUGUUAUAAUCCUCUGAGGUUAUAAUCGUCACAAGCAAGUAGGACUAGAAAAAACACUCGGAAUCUCGCAAACAAAGCGUUUGCAGGCCCAUGUUUAUGGGGACUUCGUUUUCUUAAAAUUAUCCAAGGAAUCUCACUUUUCCUUUGUACCUCCGAUUUAGGAAUACCUGUAUAUAGCGCUAUCAACGGAAUAAAAAGGAAAUAAUAUUGAAUUUAUAACGGCUAAUCAAAUAGCGAGAGGGAUGGAGAUCCAGCACCGAACACAUAAGAGUGAGACAGAGUAAUCGGCAUCAACUGAUGAAUUUCCCAAAAAUAACAUAUGUGAUUUUUCUAGGUUGAGCGUUUUAAUAGAUAAGUAAGAAAUGCCACAAUUAACUAAUAGAUGCUUCACUCUCAGUUUUACAAAGGAAAUCGCUGCAAAUAAUAUUAUGAACUUGAUUCUGACCUACUCAUAUUUAUGAGUGAAUCGGGUGCGCAAAUCAGAUUACAGGAUCGAUUAUUACGACCAAUCACAGAAAUAGUUCCAUAUCAACCGUGAAUUUGAAGGUCGCAGAGGUUAUGUUAUUAUUUAAAAUGACAUGGAUAUUAAAAUAUUAUGAAUAAUUUUAUGUUCCACUUCUUUUUUGCUUGAUUUAAGUAUUUGGAUGUAAAAUUGAUGCUUUCUUUGUAUUUUAAAAGAUAAGAGUUAUCCCAACUGUCAAUUGAAUCUGUGUAUCAGGAAAUUAAGGAUUAAACAAAUGGUGUAACAGAGCAUAAUCUUUGAGAUUUACCAUUAGCAUCUUCUACCAUUCCAAAUCUUCAGGAACUCCACCCGGAUAGAUUCCGGUUAGACAGGCAGUGCAAUGACCUUUUUUCUUAUUUGGAUUAUUUCUUUGAGCAGCUGACAAAAGACCUUCCACACUAAGGUAUUCCAAACUAUCUGCAUCUUUAAAAAAAAACAUAAAAUAAAUUGUUAUAUAACAUUUUAAAACAUAAUUCAAGAAAAAAUUAUACUAUUCUUCAAAAUAAUACUCUCAUUCCAAACCAAUAAGUUUCUUUUAUCAUAAGAAUAUCAUAAGAAAAGGAAUGUUGUAAUUUUGGGAAGUGUGAUUGAAAGAGGGUUAUGUUUUUAAGUUAUGUAUGUGAGGGGUUCUAAGAAAAAAAAAAGCUAUUCUAUUUCUUAUAGACAUUUUUACAGAGUUUACGUUUGAAGGAAAAAAAAGUUUGUAUUAUAACUUCAAAAUUAAUGGCAAUAAAAAAAACAUAAUUACACCAAUGUAUUCGACAGAAAAAAGGGCCUAUAAAUGUUUUUGUUUCAUGUUUAUAUCUCCAGUGUUGGAGAUACUCUAUGACUGGUGACGGGAAGGAAAUUCUGUUUCUAAGAGAAGACCCGAUAUGAAAUAUUUUUGAAAUUGUCAUUUCUGUUUUAUAUUCGAAUGAUAAAGUUUAACUGAACUAAUUCAGUGUUUCACGUGCCUGAGCCUGAAGAAACAUUGCUAACACCAGUAAUAAAAAUAUGAGAACUUUUCAAUUCACGCGAUUUUCCAAUUUUAUCUUAUAGCUUGAAAACAGUUGCAGUUUUCACUAAAUUAAUUAUCUCAAAAAUCAAAAGUGUGUCUUUUAUUUCAUUCUAGCUUAAAAGGAUUCUGAGAACCCCUCACUAGACAACGAAUUUGGAACACCUGAUACAUUGAGCUAUUUAGAACGUAGAAAAUGUAUUCUAUGCUCCACCAGACUGUUGCCUUUAUCUCAUUACCUGUAAUUAAGUGUAUUUUUUUUGAGCAGAGAUAAUUGGUUGGUCAGUUACCUACUUCUGAAUAAACUUUCUUUCUCUGUUAAAUUUCUAUGACAACUCAAAAACAUUAAGUACCCUUAAGUUAUUCUUCUAAGACAUUACAAAAAAUUUAAUAGUCCAUUCGACUGGCUGCACCAGUGCGAAUUAAUUCACAUUGGUGCAGCCAGUCGAAUACGAUAUAAAAUUUAAAAAUACUAAUUUCAUAUUCAAUUUGAAAGAAAUUAUAAUACAACUCACCAACUUUUUUAGCAAUUUCAUGUAAUUUCAGUUUAUUAGCAAUCAGCUCAUCACUGGUUGGUAUGUUGAUUCCCAUAUAACAAGGAUGUUUAAUAGGAGGACUAGCAACACGAAUGUGAACUUCUGUUGCACCUGCCCUCCUGAGUAACUUUAUUAUAGGACUCAUGGUAUUUCCUCUGACAAUUGAAUCGUCGAUGAGAAUUAUCCUUUUUCCUUUGAUAUUCGAGGAUAUUGCACCUAGGAAUAAGAAAACUGAGUUUGAAUUACUUUAUCAAAUGAUUAUUAUUAACUGAUAUUUUAUAUUUUCAGAAAUCCUAUAUAUUAAAACAAUUAUUGGAAUUACAGGUGUGCCAUCAUCAAAAGAUAUAAAAGAUUUGAUAAAUGAAUUGAGUUCUUGAUAUUGAUUCAGAUAAUUUUAGAUAACCAAAAAGAAUUGAAAAAUAAACUUAAAAGAAUCACAUCGAUAAAUUGGCCAAAGAAAAUAAAAAAAUAUUAUAAUUAUAAAAUAAAAACAUUGAAAUUCACCAUAAAUGAUAACAAUUUAUUAAGAAGUAGCAAACAUUUAUUAACAAUACAUAUUUAUCAACAUUUACAAUACUCACUGAAUUUUAAGGCAACAUUUACUUGUCUCAUCUUGUUACAAGGCUGAAUAAAUGUUCUUCCUACAUAAUUAUUUUUAGCUAAAAGUUCUCUGAAUGGAAUUCCGGUCUGAAAUGUAUUCAUUUGAGAUAAAUAUCUUACAUACUAUAAAAUUAUUUAAGUAAAUAUUAUUUUUUUUAUGGAAAAUGCAUUUACAUUGCCUUUCAUAUAAUUUUAGAAUAAAUUUCUUCACAUCAAGGUAAAACUGUUUGAGGUCUGAAAUAAUUGAUUAAAAAAAUUCUAUAAUUCUGACCUGCUGAGAAUAGCCAUGUGCAGCUGCAUUUCCUGAUUCUGGAACAGAGCCAACCACAUCGGCAGCCACCGGUGACUCUAUUGCUAACUGUUUUCCGCAUUCCAUUCUGACUUCAUACACCUCCUGGCCUUCGAAAAUGCUGUUCGGUUUGGCAAAAUAAACAUAUUCGAAAAUGCAGAA
Molecule: long non-coding RNA, 3335 nt
Organism: Harmonia axyridis
Lineage: Eukaryota; Metazoa; Arthropoda; Insecta; Coleoptera; Coccinellidae
Exons: 3
Source: RefSeq, a predicted model, not a curated record